Galeopterus variegatus (Sunda flying lemur) is the source of this 210-nucleotide long non-coding RNA. RefSeq lists it as uncharacterized. The record is from RefSeq and is a predicted model, not a curated record. Lineage: Eukaryota; Metazoa; Chordata; Mammalia; Dermoptera; Cynocephalidae. The transcript is spliced from 2 exons.
GGUCAAGAGCCAUGCAUGCCACUGUUUGAUCUCAGUCUGAUCCGUCCUUGACUGGGUUUGGUCUGUCCUGUAACAGGAAACUUCUUAGCUGUGGAGUUGGAAUCCAAGGCCUCCUAUGUUUUCCUGGUCUUCCUGGUCGUGUUUUCCUGUUUGUUCUGGCUGAACAAGUCUCACAAAACUAUUGUAUUUUAGCCUGAGGACAAUCCAGAU